AAGAGAUUAAGUAAGACUAUAUUGACUAGAAGGGGGUGUCUGAAAAGGUACAGGAUAGGUAAAGGGGUACUUGCUGGACAUGUGUACCCAGGUCAGGUAAGAGUAGCUGUGCACUGGUGUCUAGGCUAGGUGAAGGUGUGUCUAAUUGACAGGUCUAUUUAAACUGUACCUAAUGGGUACAUGUUUCCAGGAUAAGUGAGAAUGGCCCUGUGGUCAGGGCUUCUGGGUAAGGUGAGUGUGUAAUUGUGGACAGAUGUAUCUGCCAGGUGAAGGUGAAGGCCCUACCUGUCACCUUCACAUCUGGUGGAUAGCUGUAUCUAUGUUAGUGAGCAUAUACCUGUGGGCAGGUGUGUCCCGGCCAGGUGACGGUGUACCUCUGAUGGGUUAUUGGUGCCAGGCUGGAGCCACAGACUGGACACACCCACUUGCUAGUGCCUCACCUUGAAGCGGCGGUCGUACUUGGUGACCGAGUCAGCGAAGUCCACACGCUCCCUCUUGCCCAGGAACUGACGCAGCUCUGGCCGCUCCUCCAGCCCUAAGUAGUCUCCCACGAAGUUCCGAUUGAUGCUGUUUCGUCUCCGCUCCUUCUUGUUCAGCAGGAUGUUGGAAGCUGUGGGGACACAGGGUGUGGGGGCAGAGGUCAUGGCUUGGCUCUUCCAGGACCAUUUGUUUGCACCCUCUGCCUCCCACCGGCAGCCUCUUACCUUCCUCUCGCAUCUCCUCAUACUUCCGGAUUGCCACAUGGCGCCGCCAGGCCUUCUGGAUGGUGCGGGCGAAGCCAUCAAACUUGCGCUCUCUCAUCUCUUCUAGAAGGAAGAGCUGGGCGGGAUGGAGGGGUGGUGGGUCCUAGUGUCUCUCCAGGGCCACCGUCUCCAGUUUCUCUUGAGCCCACCCCACCCACAUGCUCCUGCGCUCACACUGUGGUCAACAUUUUUUUCCUCCAAAUGAUGGGACCCAGCGUUCCCUCCCGAUGUGUGGCACAAGCCUCUGCAUUAAAUUAUAACUGGCCUGCCUGCCUGGUGGGGCUCAAAUCCCAGCUCUGCCUAUUAUAGCCGUGUGGUUUUGCCAGGAAUGGUAUAAUAUCAUGUUAUCCCACACUGCUAAUUAAGCUCCGUUAUGCCUUUCAUGUAAGGUACACACCAACUUCAGACAUGUUAGAAAUGUGAAUCAAUGUGCAUUUUAGAAAAAAACAAGAUAAUGUAAACAUGAACAUCUAAUGACAGGCAACUAUGUGGUUUUGUCGUGAACAACCUGCACAGCCAUACAUGAUGGUCUGAGAUAGAAAUCUUUUGCAGACUUUUGAGGUGUUUUUUUUUUUUUUUUUUUUUUUUUAAUUGAUUUUUAGAGAGAGAAGAAGGGACAGAGAGAGAGAGAGGAAUGAGAAAAACAUUGAUUAGUUGCCUCCCAUAUGCACCCCGGCCCCCAACCAACUGAACCACCUGGUCAGGGUCAGACUUUUGAAUUUUAAGGGUUUUGGUCCAGAGAGUGCUUAGAAAUUAAACUAUAUUUGACCAAAGCAUAGUGGAAAUGCCAUGAAAGAUACCUUUAAAAAAAAUAAUAACAGGUAAGCAUAUCAAGGAGAGGAACCCCCGGAUAUGAAGAGUUAUGAAUCUAGUAAUAAGAACAGCGGGGUGCUAGUCAAGGACUAGAACAAUCAGUUGGAAUAGGACAGGUGGUUGGGAAACAUCCUAGUUCAAA
Pipistrellus kuhlii (Kuhl's pipistrelle) is the source of this 1698-nucleotide long non-coding RNA. RefSeq lists it as uncharacterized. The record is from RefSeq and is a predicted model, not a curated record. The transcript is spliced from 2 exons. Lineage: Eukaryota; Metazoa; Chordata; Mammalia; Chiroptera; Vespertilionidae.